Sus scrofa (pig) is the source of this 4109-nucleotide non-coding RNA. NCBI's taxonomy places the organism in Eukaryota, Metazoa, Chordata, Mammalia, Artiodactyla, Suidae. The record is from RefSeq and is a predicted model, not a curated record.
UGCUCCUGCCCCAGGAGGAGGCCCAGCACAGAGGGAGGAAGGACAGCAGAGCUCACACAUCAGACAGCAGUGCUUGUGGGCCUUUCUGGAGCAGAAAUUCUUCUCUCACAGGGAGGGACACAGCAGGCACCAGGCACCAUGGAGCCCCCCUCAGCCCCUGCCCACGGAGGGCGCAUCUCCUGGCACAGGCUUCUGUUGGCAGUCUCACUCCUAAGCUUCUGGAACCUGCCCGCCACUGCCCAGAUCACUAUUGAAUCAGUGCCCUUCAAAACUGCAGAAGGAAGGGAUGUUCUUCUACUUGCCCACAAUGCGACAGAGGAUACUCUAGGCUACAGCUGGUACAGAGGAGAAAGAGUAGAGAACAACCAACUAAUUAUAUUAUAUAGAGUAGACAUUCAAGCAAAUACCACAGGGCCUGCAUACAGUGGUCGAGAGAUAAUCUACCCCAAUGGAUCCCUGCUGUUCCAGAAUGCCACCCAGAAUGACACAGGAUACUACACUCUGAUGGUUACAAAGAAUGAUUUACAGAGAGAAAUUGUAACUGGACUACUCCGUGUAUACCCACCAGUGACAAAGCCCAUCAUUGAAGCCAACAGCACCACCGUCACAGAACAAAAGGACACCGUGGUCCUGACCUGCAUCAUAAAUGACACUGAGGUCUCCAUACGCUGGCUCUUCAAUGGCCAGAGUCUACUGCUCACAGAAAGGAUAAAGCUGUCCCAGGAAAACAGCACCCUCACCAUAGAGCCCGUCAGGAGGGAGGAUGCUGGGAAUUAUCAGUGCGAGGCCUCCAACCCAGGAAAUUCCAGCCUAAGUGACCCUCUCAGGCUGGAUGUGAAAUACCCAGUGGCAAAGCCCAUCGUCGAAGCCAACAGCACCACCGUCACAGAACACGAGGACACCGUGGUCCUGAAAUGCCUCACAAAUGACACCGGGGUCGCCAUCUCCUGGUUCUUCAAUGGCCAGAGUCUACUGCUCACAGAGAGGAUGGAGCUGUCCCAGGACAACGGCACCCUCACCAUAGAGCCCGUCAGGAGGGAGGAUGCUGGGCAUUAUCAGUGCGAGGCCUCCCACCUGGGCAAUUCCAGCAAAAGUGACCCCCUCAGGCUGGAUGUGAAAUACCCAGUGGCAAAGCCCAUCGUCGAAGCCAACAGCACCACCGUCACAGAACACGAGGACACCGUGGUCCUGAAAUGCCUCACAAAUGACACCGGGGUCGCCAUCUCCUGGUUCUUCAAUGGCCAGAGUCUACUGCUCACAGAGAGGAUGGAGCUGUCCCAGGACAACGGCACCCUCACCAUAGAGCCCGUCAGGAGGGAGGAUGCUGGGCAUUAUCAGUGCGAGGCCUCCCACCUGGGCAAUUCCAGCAAAAGUGACCCCCUCAGGCUGGAUGUGAAAUACCCAGUGGCAAAGCCCAUCGUCGAAGCCAACAGCACCACCGUCACAGAACACGAGGACACCGUGGUCCUGAAAUGCCUCACAAAUGACACCGGGGUCGCCAUCUCCUGGUUCUUCAAUGGCCAGAGUCUACUGCUCACAGAGAGGAUGGAGCUGUCCCAGGACAAUGGCACCCUCACCAUAGAGCCCGUCAGGAGGGAGGAUGCUGGGCAUUAUCAGUGCGAGGCCUCCCACCUGGGCAAUUCCAGCAAAAGUGACCCCCUCAGGCUGGAUGUGAAAUACCCAGUGGCAAAGCCCAUCGUCGAAGCCAACAGCACCACCGUCACAGAACACGAGGACACCGUGGUCCUGAAAUGCCUCACAAAUGACACCGGGGUCGCCAUCUCCUGGUUCUUCAAUGGCCAGAGUCUACUGCUCACAGAGAGGAUGGAGCUGUCCCAGGACAACGGCACCCUCACCAUAGAGCCCGUCAGGAGGGAGGAUGCUGGGCAUUAUCAGUGCGAGGCCUCCCACCUGGGCAAUUCCAGCAAAAGUGACCCCCUCAGGCUGGAUGUGAAAUACCCAGUGGCAAAGCCCAUCGUCGAAGCCAACAGCACCACCGUCACAGAACACGAGGACACCGUGGUCCUGAAAUGCCUCACAAAUGACACCGGGGUCGCCAUCUCCUGGUUCUUCAAUGGCCAGAGUCUACUGCUCACAGAGAGGAUGGAGCUGUCCCAGGACAACGGCACCCUCACCAUAGAGCCCGUCAGGAGGGAGGAUGCUGGGCAUUAUCAGUGCGAGGCCUCCCACCUGGGCAAUUCCAGCAAAAGUGACCCCCUCAGGCUGGAUGUGAAAUACCCAGUGGCAAAGCCCAUCGUCGAAGCCAACAGCACCACCGUCACAGAACACGAGGACACCGUGGUCCUGAAAUGCCUCACAAAUGACACCGGGGUCGCCAUCUCCUGGUUCUUCAAUGGCCAGAGUCUACUGCUCACAGAGAGGAUGGAGCUGUCCCAGGACAACGGCACCCUCACCAUAGAGCCCGUCAGGAGGGAGGAUGCUGGGCAUUAUCAGUGCGAGGCCUCCCACCUGGGCAAUUCCAGCAAAAGUGACCCCCUCAGGCUGGAUGUGAAAUACCCAGUGGCAAAGCCCAUCGUCGAAGCCAACAGCACCACCGUCACAGAACACGAGGACACCGUGGUCCUGAAAUGCCUCACAAAUGACACCGGGGUCGCCAUCUCCUGGUUCUUCAAUGGCCAGAGUCUACUGCUCACAGAGAGGAUGGAGCUGUCCCAGGACAACGGCACCCUCACCAUAGAGCCCGUCAGGAGGGAGGAUGCUGGGCAUUAUCAGUGCGAGGCCUCCCACCUGGGCAAUUCCAGCAAAAGUGACCCCCUCAGGCUGGAUGUGAAAUACCCAGUGGCAAAGCCCAUCAUCGAAGCCAACAACACCACCGUCACAGAACACGAGGACACCGUGGUCCUGAAAUGCCUCACAAAUGACACCGGGGUCGCCAUCUCCUGGUUCUUCAAUGGCCAGAGUCUACUGCUCACAGAGAGGAUGGAGCUGUCCCAGGACAACGGCACCCUCACCAUAGAGCCCGUCAGGAGGGAGGAUGCUGGGCAUUAUCAGUGCGAGGCCUCCCACCUGGGCAAUUCCAGCAAAAGUGACCCCCUCAGGCUGGAUGUGAAAUAUGAUUCAGCAACUGGCCUCUCAAGUGGUGCUGUUGCCGGGAUCGUGACUGGAGCCCUGGCUGGGGUAGCUCUGAUAGGAGCCUUGGUGUAUAUUCUGUGUGUGAUAUAGACCAAAUGGGCAAGUGACCGGCAUGAUAUCACAGAGCACAAAUCCCCAGACUUCAACCAUAGUAAGUCACAGCCAUGUCAACAACUCACCUAACAAGAUCGAUGAAGGUGCCUAUUCUUCCCUGAACCUCAAUGCCCAGGAAUCAAAGAAAUCUACUUUAGCACCUCCAUCUCCAAUAGCCACAGAAACGAUUCAUUCAGAAGUUUAAAAAAAAAAAGAGAGAGAGAGAAAUGCAGCCAGUCCUGCUUGAUGCACUGCUGACUUAUUCCAAGCUUCUCAGCCCCAUCCCCAGGAGACCCCUUUCCCCUCAGGGAAAAUGGGAAGAGGGUCUUUCCCCCCCUUCAUUCCCCAGUGAGGCUCAUCCAGGCUGCCUAGUCACAGCCUCCUCCUUCGGUGUCAGUAGAUGAAAAGGCACAUGUAGGAGGAGGUCUGCAGGAAACCCAACCGUCCUUGUCAGUGACAUGCGGCAAAGCAGACCUUGGGAGAGAGGUGCCAGGGCCUCUGCCCCUCCCCAUUUCCUGACCUAAACUGGUUUUAAACUUGCCUGUUCAGAACACACUCAUUCCUUCCCACCUCAGCCCUGUCCUACUGGAGUCUAACUUGAAUUUGGCAUAACUUUAAGAGUUAUGUCCUUUUGCACUGGAAGACGUGCCAUUUCUGGAAGAAAUGAGGAGAGAAAAAGGAAGAGGAAAAGCUUCUCCUUGCUCUCCAAAACCUGGUGUGAACUCAACACCACAGGGAAAUACCAACUUGGGACUGUAAAUUUUACACCUUUGUCCGCUGUCAAGGUUAUCUAUUUUCAGGACCUGGGCCUAAACACCUUGUUGCUCACCUAGAAUACCACCUGGCCUUUGGAAAGUCUAUCUUCAGAGAAUCUAUUAAAAGCAACUAGAAAACAAACAAACAAAUAAACAAACAAAAAAGGA